Molecule: long non-coding RNA, 1100 nt
Organism: Papaver somniferum (opium poppy)
Lineage: Eukaryota; Viridiplantae; Streptophyta; Magnoliopsida; Ranunculales; Papaveraceae
Exons: 3
Source: RefSeq, a predicted model, not a curated record
UGGGUAUAUCAUAAGAUUGAUGUUCUCUUUACUAGACUUGGUUUUGUAUGAGUGGAAUAAAUAUUAGACCCCAAGAUUUUACCUUAUGUGUUUGUGAUGUGAUUUUGUUAUUUGAUUAUUGUGUCCUAGAGUUGAGAGGAUGCCGCUUAGAGUGCUAUUUUUGGGGUGUGUGCUUGCUCUUAUUGAGAAUUGCCAUAAACGAAGCCAACUUCAGUAAUGAUGAAUUAGUUUUAGUCUCCAGCUGAAUUUGUAGGGCUCGCCAAAUUCAGGUUUUAGUUUCUUGAAAUGGUGCAUAUUCGAUGCUCAUUGUACUAGCUAGGAUUAUCGGAAGUUGUGAAAAAAAAUGGAAAUCGAUCCUUACGGUUGUCAAGGCUGAAUACAUCACCAUGCGCAAAGAGAGGCCAACAGAUCAUAGUAUGAUUCUAAUUAAGAACUUGAGGAUGACGAUGACGGAUGACCACAUACAUUCGUGGUGACAGGCCUGUCUUAUGUGACAAAAGGUUGUACUUCAAGUAUCGAAGUUGCAACCAGAUAUAAUCAUGGAGUUCCAAGGUAUAGUUGAGACAUGUACUUAUGUGGUUUGGUAGCAGCAAGAGAAGACUUUAGAAGAAUGUCAUAUUGCUGAACAUAUAAACCCAGGUGAGAGCUGAAUAUUGAAUAGGGAGAAUUCUAGGGUGAUGGGAUGUUCUAGCCGAGGACGUGAGAAUUCACAAAGAGCAUCUUAUUGUCUCAAUAAGAACAUUUUUGCUGCUGAGAAGGUCUUUCUGUAUCUAGCAAUAAGUUGCAGGUAUUUAGAAUCAAAUUUUCAAUUUUUUCAGAUAGUUUUUGUCUGUAGAGUUGAUAAUUCUUCCAUUCUCUGCAUUGAUGAUCAAUCAAGAAAAUAAGUGACCAAAGGUGUUCCUAAGAAAAGUAACACUUUGUCUUACUCAAAUUUGAGCAACCGAAGUUCAACCAAAGGUGAUGCUCGGGCCUGUCUGGGACCAUCUAUGAAGGAGAUGAUAUUCUCACUGUUUGUGGUCAUUUCGAUGGCUAUUUUCCAUCUGUCACAUAAAACUAUAUUUUUUAUCUCUACCUCUGAAAGCAGGUCAUCCUGAAUUUGA